Long non-coding RNA from Poecilia reticulata (guppy), 470 nucleotides. RefSeq lists it as uncharacterized. The record is from RefSeq and is a predicted model, not a curated record. NCBI's taxonomy places the organism in Eukaryota, Metazoa, Chordata, Actinopteri, Cyprinodontiformes, Poeciliidae.
UGAGUCUGUCCCCGACUUUAUGUGGGAGCAGACCGGGGAGGACAUGUCUCCAUCGUUGUCACCCCGGGCGCAGAGGGAGGCGAGAUGAWCUACGAGCAAAUGUUGGAGGCCAGCGUGAUUGGACCGAAGAGGGGUUCGAUUAUAGCAGAAGCCGAGGUUUCGACCACGUCACUCAAAGAGACACCUGUAUGUGAGGAAAAUGAAGGAGAGUUCAACAUCAACCAGUGAAGUUGCCUGAAGCGACCGGAGGUCAUUUGCAUGAAUCCAGAGAAACUGGCCUCUGGGCCUGAGUGGCUCGCUUCAGGUUCCUGCUGGGCCUCAGCCUCCACAUCCGCUCUGAAGGGGAGUCCGGCAGAAAGCCACAUAUCCUCCGUCUGGCUGCAGUACGCAUCCAGAUACCGCAGCUGGCGCAUGCUCGUGUGGUUCCCACUUUGUUUAUUAAAUUAUCAUAGUUUACAAAAUCAUGCAAA